GUUUGAUCUUGGUUCAGGACGAACGCUGGCGGCGUGCCUAAUACAUGCAAGUCGAGCGGACAGAUGGGAGCUUGCUCCCUGAUGUUAGCGGCGGACGGGUGAGUAACACGUGGGUAACCUGCCUGUAAGACUGGGAUAACUCCGGGAAACCGGGGCUAAUACCGGAUGGUUGUUUGAACCGCAUGGUUCAGACAUAAAAGGUGGCUUCGGCUACCACUUACAGAUGGACCCGCGGCGCAUUAGCUAGUUGGUGAGGUAACGGCUCACCAAGGCGACGAUGCGUAGCCGACCUGAGAGGGUGAUCGGCCACACUGGGACUGAGACACGGCCCAGACUCCUACGGGAGGCAGCAGUAGGGAAUCUUCCGCAAUGGACGAAAGUCUGACGGAGCAACGCCGCGUGAGUGAUGAAGGUUUUCGGAUCGUAAAGCUCUGUUGUUAGGGAAGAACAAGUGCCGUUCAAAUAGGGCGGCACCUUGACGGUACCU
Molecule: ribosomal RNA, 487 nt
Filed under: Bacillus subtilis
Lineage: Bacteria; Bacillati; Bacillota; Bacilli; Caryophanales; Bacillaceae
Description: bacterial SSU rRNA
Rfam family: Bacterial small subunit ribosomal RNA
Source: RNAcentral